GAUGUGUAGGAUAGGUGGGAGGCUUUGAAGCGUGGACGCCAGUCUGCGUGGAGCCGACCUUGAAAUACCACCCUUUAAUGUUUGAUGUUCUAACGUGGACCCGUGAUCCGGGUUGCGGACAGUGUCUGGUGGGUAGUUUGACUGGGGCGGUCUCCUCCUAAAGAGUAACGGAGGAGCACGAAGGUUGGCUAAUCCUGGUCGGACAUCAGGAGGUUAGUGCAAUGGCAUAAGCCAGCUUGACUGCGAGCGUGACGGCGCGAGCAGGUGCGAAAGCAGGUCAUAGUGAUCCGGUGGUUCUGAAUGGAAGGGCCAUCGCUCAACGGAUAAAAGGUACUCCGGGGAUAACAGGCUGAUACCGCCCAAGAGUUCAUAUCGACGGCGGUGUUUGGCACCUCGAUGUCGGCUCAUCACAUCCUGGGGCUGAAGUAGGUCCCAAGGGUAUGGCUGUUCGCCAUUUAAAGUGGUACGCGAGCUGGGUUUAGAACGUCGUGAGACAGUUCGGUCCCUAUCUGCCGUGGGCGCUGGAGAACUGAGGGGGGCUGCUCCUAGUACGAGAGGACCGGAGUGGACGCAUCACUGGUGUUCGGGUUGUCAUGCCAAUGGCACUGCCCGGUAGCUAAAUGCGGAAGAGAUAAGUGCUGAAAGCAUCUAAGCACGAAACUUGCCCCGAG
This 671-nucleotide ribosomal RNA is filed under the name Salmonella enterica. Its description in RNAcentral is "partial 23S ribosomal RNA". It matches the Rfam family "Bacterial large subunit ribosomal RNA", at positions 2133 to 2803 of the family's 2925-position model. Lineage: Bacteria; Pseudomonadati; Pseudomonadota; Gammaproteobacteria; Enterobacterales; Enterobacteriaceae. The record is from RNAcentral.